Telopea speciosissima is the source of this 261-nucleotide long non-coding RNA. RefSeq lists it as uncharacterized. The transcript is spliced from 2 exons. The record is from RefSeq and is a predicted model, not a curated record. Lineage: Eukaryota; Viridiplantae; Streptophyta; Magnoliopsida; Proteales; Proteaceae.
CAUGCACAGCAAGUUAUGUGAUGCUGUUAAGAUCACUAUUAUAAAGACAUAAAAUAUAUAUUGGGAACCAUAGAACAAUGGAAGAGCUAGAACAAGCUCCAUUAAGUUGGUAAUGUUGCUAGGACUAAAUAUAUCUCAAAAAGUAAUAGUAAAACUGAAAGAUACUAAAAUCAUGAAGAAAAAACACUCCAAUAUCAUACCAUUUCUUUUUGACAUUUUCUAUUAAAUCAUAUUGAAGAACCAAGAUAAUAUGGAUGAGGA